UUGUCCUUAGUUACCAGCACGUUAUGGUGGGCGACUCUAAGGAGACUGCCGGUGACAAACCGGAGGAAGGUGGGGAUGACGUCAAGUCAUCAUGGCCCUUACGGCCUGGGCUACACACGUGCUACAAUGGUCGGUACAAAGGGUUGCCAAGCCGCGAGGUGGAGCUAAUCCCAUAAAACCGAUCGUAGUCCGGAUCGCAGUCUGCAACUCGACUGCGUGAAGUCGGAAUCGCUAGUAAUCGUGAAUCAGAAUGUCACGGUGAAUACGUUCCCGGGCCUU
This 279-nucleotide ribosomal RNA is filed under the name uncultured Pseudomonas sp. RNAcentral describes it as "partial 16S ribosomal RNA". It matches the Rfam family "Bacterial small subunit ribosomal RNA", at positions 1105 to 1382 of the family's 1533-position model. Lineage: Bacteria; Pseudomonadati; Pseudomonadota; Gammaproteobacteria; Pseudomonadales; Pseudomonadaceae. The record is from RNAcentral.